UUCAUAUUUUUUGUAGAGAUGGGAUUCAACAUGUUUCCCAGGCAAUCUGAAAGCAAAUCCUGUUUAGAUGCAGGCGAAGGUUCCUGGUGACCCAGGCUCUCACCUUACCGUCCCUUACCGUCCUCCUGAGGGUGUCCUGGAGCUUCAGUGCUGUGUGUUCUUGGCCUCCACGCUGGGGGUGCCACCAACUCCCACUGUCCAGGGCUUCCAGUGGACUCUCCGAGGUACUGAUGUAGAAACUUCCCCAUUCGGUGCACCAAGAGCAACCUCACACGGUGUGGGCCGAAUGAAGAGCUGCCAGAUCCCACAGAAAUGUGAUUGAUAACAGUAAAGCCACACUCCUCAAGUGCCUGAAAUACCCCUCAUUGUCUUCUUCAGGUGGCAAGGGCUCUGGAACAGCCACAUAAAGGUGAGGGCAAUAUUUUUACUGUAGUUCUUUCAUUGAUUGGUUGAUUGAUUUUUUUCUCUUAGAGGGUUAGCAUACAUUUAUCUGAAAUUGAAAUUCAAGAGGAGAGACAGGCACCUGUACUAGUUUUCUCUUGCUGCCUAUUAUCACAUUACCACAAACCAGUGGUUUGAAACCACAGAAGUCUGGAAUGAAGUGGCCGGGUUCUCUGAUCAGAGUCAUGUGAGGCUAAAAUCCGGGAAUGGGCUGGCUGUGUUUUUUUCCUAGAGCUCAAGCUAUUUUUCCAGGUUCACUACAGAUAAUGAAAGAGUUCCUAUUCUUGUUUGUGGGGGACUGAGGGCCCUUUUUCUGUGCUGGCUGUCAGCGGGGAGACAGUCUACUCUGACUCCAGAGGCCACAUGCUUUCCUCCUUACCUGUCUGUUUCAUCUUUCAACCAAUAACAACUCAUGGAGUCCUUCUCAAGCUCCCACCUUCUCUGACUUCAUCUUCUCCAACCAGCCACACAAAGCUCUGUCAUGUAUGGAGUGAUGUGAUUAGAUCCAGUUCAUGCGGUAACCUCACCAUCUUAAAGUCAUAUAACUGGCAUAUAACAACAUAGUCACAGGAAUGGUGUCUCAUCACCUUAAGAGGCUUUAGAGACAAGGGUGUGGCAUGUUUGGGGACCAUUUCAGAAAUUCCAUCUACCACAGUAGGACACUCACAUUCCCCCAUCUGCAAAGUGCAUUUACCCUCUCCCCUGAGGUUUCCAGAUUUCAUGUCAUUAAAGCAUUAGUUCAACAUGAAAAAUGUCAUGUAGACCACAUCAGAUCAAAAGUUUAAAAUCCCAUCUAAAACAUCCACACCAGGUGUGAAUGAGGCUUCCGAGAGUGUCCAUUAAGUGCAGAUCCUUGACAUAAUUCCCUUACCUCUGUCGACCUGUGAAACUGAACAAACAGCUUAUCUGCCCCUAAUGUGAAAUGAUGGGACAGACAUAGAAUAACCACUACAGUGAUUCUAGUUCAAAAUGAGGGAACAUGGAGGGGAUAAAGAAGUCAAUAACCCAAAAUAGUUUGGAAAUGGAGCUGGGCAAAAUCCAGCAGGAGUUUCUUAGUUAGGAUCCACAGCCUGGGACUGACCCUCUGUCCUGUGGGUCUUUGCCUCUGGGCUCUCUGCUCUGCAUUUCUUGAAACCAUUAUUAUUUAUCAUUUUUCUCACACUCUUUUGCGUAUGGCUCCUAUUGCACUCAAAAUGUUUUUGAGAUUCAUCCAUCUUGUUUUGUGUGUCAAAAGUUUGUUCCUUUAGCCGUUCCAUGGAAUGAAUGUAUCACAGUUUAUUGAUCCAUUCUUGUAUUGAUAGAUAUUUGAAUGUUUCCAGUUUUUCCUAUUAUGAAUAAAACUGCUAUGAACAUUCUUGUAUAAAUCA
RNAcentral lists this long non-coding RNA (1808 nucleotides) under Homo sapiens (human). Its description in RNAcentral is "HSALNT0295306". The record is from RNAcentral. Lineage: Eukaryota; Metazoa; Chordata; Mammalia; Primates; Hominidae.